This 446-nucleotide ribosomal RNA is filed under the name uncultured bacterium. Its description in RNAcentral is "partial 16S ribosomal RNA". It matches the Rfam family "Bacterial small subunit ribosomal RNA", at positions 329 to 792 of the family's 1533-position model. The record is from RNAcentral.
UACCAGACUCCUACGGGAGGCAGCAGUGGGGAAUAUUGCACAAUGGGGGGAACCCUGAUGCAGCGACGCCGCGUGGGUGAAGAAGCGCCUCGGCGCGUAAAGCCCCGUCAGCAGGGAAGAAAAUGACGGUACCUGAAGAAGAAGCCCCGGCUAACUACGUGCCAGCAGCCGCGGUAAUACGUAGGGGGCAAGCGUUAUCCGGAUUUACUGGGUGUAAAGGGAGCGUAGACGGCAGUGCAAGUCCGGAGUGAAAGCCCGGGGCUCAACCCUGGGACUGCUCUGGAAACUGUAAAGCUGGAGUGCAGGAGGGGCAGGCGGAAUUCCUGGUGUAGCGGUGAAAUGCGUAGAUAUCAGGAGGAACACCGGCGGCGAAGGCGGCCUGCUGGACCGUAACUGACGUUGAGGCUCGAAAGCGUGGGGAGCAAACAGGAUUAGAUACCCUAGUA